CGGGCUGGACCUCUCGGGGUUACAGCCUUGCUGAAUUAUUCACCCUUGUCUUUUGCGUACUUCUUGUUUCCUUGGUGGGUUCGCCCACCACUAGGACAAACAUAAACCUUUUGUAAUUGCAAUCAGCGUCAGUAACAAAUUAAUAAUU
RNAcentral lists this unclassified non-coding RNA (148 nucleotides) under Alternaria tenuissima. Its description in RNAcentral is "ITS1". Lineage: Eukaryota; Fungi; Ascomycota; Dothideomycetes; Pleosporales; Pleosporaceae. The record is from RNAcentral.